Molecule: ribosomal RNA, 429 nt
Filed under: Pseudomonadota bacterium
Lineage: Bacteria; Pseudomonadati; Pseudomonadota
Description: Proteobacteria bacterium partial 16S ribosomal RNA
Rfam family: Bacterial small subunit ribosomal RNA
Source: RNAcentral
UGGGGAAUAUUGGACAAUGGGCGAAAGCCUGAUCCAGCCAUGCCGCGUGUGUGAAGAAGGUCUUCGGAUUGUAAAGCACUUUAAGUUGGGAGGAAGGGCAGUAAGCGAAUACCUUGCUGUUUUGACGUUACCGACAGAAUAAGCACCGGCUAACUCUGUGCCAGCAGCCGCGGUAAUACAGAGGGUGCAAGCGUUAAUCGGAAUUACUGGGCGUAAAGCGCGCGUAGGUGGUUCGUUAAGUUGAAUGUGAAAGCCCCGGGCUCAACCUGGGAACUGCAUCCAAAACUGGCGAGCUAGAGUAGGGCAGAGGGUGGUGGAAUUUCCUGUGUAGCGGUGAAAUGCGUAGAUAUAGGAAGGAACACCGGUGGCGAAGGCGACCACCUGGGCUCAUACUGACACUGAGGUGCGAAAGCGUGGGGAGCAAACAGG